AAUGCCUCAUUUUUUUUUCCCGAUGAAUUUCCGAAUAGCUUUAGGUGUCUGCCCAUUGCAAUCAUUCUCAUUGAACUCUAUUCUCUGGUGCCCUCUGUUUUAGGUCUCGGUCAGAUCUCGAUACAAAUGUGGAUGUGUUUGUGGAUUGUGUGGCCGUGAGAGGCGAUUCAGCUGGUGUCUCCGUUCAAUCUUGUCGUUGUGUUGUGGUUGUUGAAUAUUUCUUUGUAGACGAUAUUACAGACGCCUUCUCCCUUGCUCGUCACUGAUGUUUCAUCAAGAAUUUUAAGGCCUCCAGGUGAAGUUACACGUGAAAGUGCUACAUAAAGCUGCCCAUGGCUGAAUACUCCCUUUGUGUGAAUGGAAGCAUGGUGUCGGUCGGUGAUAAUUGAAUCCUUGGAAUUAAUACCUUCUCACCCACGUGUGUCCCAGUAUACCGACUUUUGGGUGGAGACGAUGAUUUGGUAACCCAGGGAAGUCCAGGGAGUUUAGGUACUCUACAGCGUAGUGUGAUCUCCAGUCACCAUCUGGUGUUGCCUCCAUUUCGGUGCUGUCCGACCUUAGAUAUUCCCGCAUUUCAGAAGUUCCGUUACCAACUUGCAAUAUCCAAUCGGCGAAUUCUAUAUCCUCUUGUUGGAGUCUCAUGUUUUGCGACAGCAUGAAGACAUUACAUGACUCCCACAAGUAUGAUUUACUCACGGACGCUGAGACAGUAUCUUGGCGGCUCCCUUGUGCAACAACAGACCGACCCCUGGUGAAUGUUUAGUGGUAUGUUGAAACGUGAGUGAGCCGUCCUGCCUCCUGGUAGUAGUAGAGCCGUGAUACCAGCUGAUGCAACAGGAAUCACUACUCUUCCUGUUGAACGAAGCUAGGCGAUAAUUGUCUUGUAUAAAAAUGUUUUACCGGUACCUCCGGGGCCGUAAACAAAGAACAGCUUCCCUGCCUCAUUCUCUAUGGAUUCCAAAACUGCAUCGUAUACCCUUCUCUGGUCUUCAUUCAAUGACCCAAACAUCCUGUUGUGUUCUUCUGUUUCUGUGUCUUUGUCAAACAUCAUUUCUUGUCUGAGCACAGUGUUGUUUAUGUCUUGGAGAAUGGUUUUAUCAGGCAGAGGCACCCCUUUGAAAUCGGAUAUCCUCCGCCAAAUACUUCCAAGCGUGAUUCCAAAGUUGUACGGGGUUGCCCACUUGACAGUACAGUAAGAUGGUGACAAAUAAUUUCCUCAUCUGAGUGGCUGUGGCCCAAUAUGCAGGACCUCGGACAACAUUGACCAGAAUCCUUAGGUAGUACAGUUCACCAGCAGUUGGGGGUAUGUACACCACUCUCCCUAUCGAUGCUCGCUUCUUUCUUGGAGUCCAUAUUUUCUCAGAGCUGUGAUAGACAAACAUAGUUGGAAAUUCCACAUAUGUUAAAUUCUGCGCUUCCUCAUAUAUGUUGUUUGCCUCCAACCCAAGCGGUAGGUGAAUUGAGAGCUUCAUUACAGAAGGCUGGUGGUAAUGUAUGUGGAACGCAAAUAUUCUCCAAGCUGCCUCGCAUGCUGACACAUAACGACAGUCAAGAUAUUUAAUAGCGCUGGUUCUGCAACACCACUCGACGUUGAUAUGGGCCUUGUAUUUCUUCAAAAGAGACAACAAAUCCAGAUUUAUCAAUGCUUGUCUGCUCGGAAAAUGGUCUUGGGUAGUUUUUGGUGCACUCGCCUUUCUCCAUGCAUGGCGACUUCAGCCGAGUCUUACCGCAAGAAAUAUACUGAUCGAUCAAUGAAGGUGUUGCUUCCCUGUAACCUUCAAACCAAAGGAGAAUGUGUGCAUGUGGCAGUCCACGCUUUUGGAAUUCAAUAGUACAUACCACUGCAACAGGAACAGGGAAGAAUGUGCCUUUUUUGAAGUCUGCCAUCAUUUCAUCCAGUUUUAGCUUAAAGAGUCGGCAUUCUAAAUCUGGCCUACUGUUUGCCGAUUCUCCGCCAUACGCGUCAAGGUGAUCGGUUAUUUCGGUCCAGCUGGGAUUUGCGGUGACUGUGAUGAAUAAGUUUGGAUUCCCAUACCAUCUACAAAUAGCCAUUGCGUCAUGGUAUUUUUCAGCCAUGUAUCUUGGUCCAGCAGUGAAUGAAGAUGGCAAAAUAACUUUUUUGCCAACUUUCCGGGCAUCUGUGUCGCCUCUCUCAACUGCAUCACAUACAUUGUUGUAUAAAUCUGCUCGCAAUUUCUUUUGGUUUAGCCUGAUAAAGCGUAAUCUUUCUUGCUCCGUUGCAGUGUAAGCAUCUACAAUAUACUGAUGCAGCAACCUCCCACCCUUGAUGAUCGUCAUACCCUCUGUCAAUCUAGUUUGAAGUUGUGGAUACUUGAGGCUCAUGAAGAGUGGGUGUUGAUCACUGAUCCUCUGUAGUGAAGAAGACUUGAAUUGGAGAACUACAUCUCUUCCUCCAGUGUUGAUUGUCAAGUCACCAACUAUUAACCCCCCAAUCUCGUCAGCACUUGCUCCACCGGUGAUUGCUUUGAUUCGGUUGUGGACCUCAUUUGCUGUGUCGAAUAUAUAAAGUUGGAGAAACUGUGGUGGUUUCCCUUCAACAGGCACCAGGGAGCCUAUUUGGUGAUGAUUCUGACCAUGGAUUCUGUAGGUAAACGGUCCUUGAGUUCCUGUGACAGUAUGAUCCACGUGUGCCCCCAUUGAUGUGAAGGCCAGCAUCGCAUUCACUACACGGAUAUUUUGACGGAAUUCCGGUAAUUCUAGUACCUCUUUCAGCGGUGACGGCGGGUCCUUAACACGUGGGAGCUUCACACGUCCUUGUUGACAACAAAUGCUGAACAGUCUUUUAGUUGGUGUCUGGCUGGAGUGGAGGAAACACAUGUUUGGAGUUGAGAGAUAUUCAGCAGAUAGCCAUGGCUGACUUUGGUCACCUUUCUGGACACCUGCAUUUCAUUGCGUAGUGAGGUUGUUCAGUAGCUAUGAAAUUAGUUUUGGGUAGUACAUAUUCCUACCUUUUUUGGGAAGGGAAGCUUUCUUCAUAACUAUAGUGUUGUUUUUGGACAAACACUUCAUUCUUUUUUCCAGGGAAUGUUCAUGUUGGCAAACCGUUUUCCCUUUAUCAAGAGGUGUUUUGUGCACCAUGAUGUCUGUUACACGUAGAUUUGGUAAUUGGGGAGCAAUAGGUGAUAUUUGGAAGAAGGGUAAGUUUACUUCAUCUGGGCAUUUUACCUCAUCUGGGCAUUUUGUAACUGAAAUAUUGUAAUUGAUAUAUAACAAUAAUAUUAUGUAAUUAACGCUAUUAAAUAUGCCUUAAAUCA
Eutrema salsugineum is the source of this 3275-nucleotide long non-coding RNA. RefSeq lists it as uncharacterized. The record is from RefSeq and is a predicted model, not a curated record. NCBI's taxonomy places the organism in Eukaryota, Viridiplantae, Streptophyta, Magnoliopsida, Brassicales, Brassicaceae. The transcript is spliced from 16 exons.